AAAAAGAAUGUGAUCCGAUGUUGAUUGAACUCGUGAACUCUCGAAAGAUGAAUCAAAGUGUGCAGCCGCUGUGCCAAGGGUGUUAUACUUGCCAAAAGCUAUAAUAAAACGAAAAUAACUUUUGAAUAUUUAAUUAAAAACAGAAAAAAAUGUAAGUAUACACAAACGGGGAUCGAACACGGCUUAUUGUGUGAUAAGGGUACACUAAGAGUAGAAGGGCUUGCCACUAGGCUACGGUGGAUAUUCGAUAACAGAGUAAAUGUGAACUUAUUUAUUCACAGACGAUAGAUUUAUAUAAUCUGGAUAUCAUUUUAGGUAUUCAGGAUAUCUUUCUAAAAACAAAUUCCUUUAAAGUUCACAAAAAAAAAAUGAAAAAGAAUGUGAUCUGAUGUUGAUUGAACUCAUGAACUCUCGAAAAAUGAAUCAAAGUGUGCAGCCGUUGUACCAAGGGUGUUAUACUUGCCAAAAGCUAUAAUAAAACAAAAAUAACUUUUGAAUAUCAAUACAAUACUAAAAGGGGAAUAAGGGCUCCCCUCAUGCUUCCACGUCCUCAAUAAUAAUCAGCCAAUAGGGUGUCU
RNAcentral lists this long non-coding RNA (578 nucleotides) under Brassica rapa (field mustard). Its description in RNAcentral is "long non-coding RNA (BRAP_LNC007042)". Lineage: Eukaryota; Viridiplantae; Streptophyta; Magnoliopsida; Brassicales; Brassicaceae. The record is from RNAcentral.